UUGUUCUCACUUCUGCAACACAUACACUAAAAUUGGAAUGAUACAGAGAAAAUUAGCAUAGCGCCUAUGCAAGGAUGACACACAAAAUUGUGAAGUGUUCCAUAUUUUU
This 109-nucleotide small nuclear RNA is filed under the name Pavo cristatus (Indian peafowl). The record is from RNAcentral. Lineage: Eukaryota; Metazoa; Chordata; Aves; Galliformes; Phasianidae.